GUGUCAGCAGCCGCGGUAAUACGUAGGGGGCAAGCGUUGUCCGGAAUUACUGGGCGUAAAGCGCGUGUAGGCGGGACGACAAGUCCGGCGUGAAAGGCUUGGGCUCAACCCGAGAUGGCCGUUGGAAACUGUCGUUCUUGAGGGUCGAAGAGGAGAGUGGAAUUCCUGGUGUAGCGGUGAAAUGCGUAGAGAUCAGGAGGAACACCCAUGGCGAAGGCAGCUCUCUGGUCGACCUCUGACGCUGAGACGCGAAAGCGUGGGGAGCGAACGGGAUUAGAUACCCCUGUAGUCC
RNAcentral lists this ribosomal RNA (292 nucleotides) under uncultured bacterium. Its description in RNAcentral is "partial 16S ribosomal RNA". It matches the Rfam family "Bacterial small subunit ribosomal RNA", at positions 505 to 796 of the family's 1533-position model. The record is from RNAcentral.